CCCCAGACUCCUACGGGAGGCAGCAGUGGGGAAUAUUGCACAAUGGGGGAAACCCUGAUGCAGCGACGCCGCGUGAGUGAAGAAGUAUUUCGGUAUGUAAAGCUCUAUCAGCAGGAAAGAUAAUGACGGUACCUGACUAAGAAGCCCCGGCUAACUACGUGCCAGCAGCCGCGGUAAUACGUAGGGGGCAAGCGUUAUCCGGAUUUACUGGGUGUAAAGGGAGCGUAGACGGCAGCGCAAGUCUGGAGUGAAAUGCCGGGGCCCAACCCCGGAACUGCUUUGGAAACUGUGCGGCUCGAGUGCGGGAGAGGUAGGCGGAAUUCCCAGUGUAGCGGUGAAAUGCGUAGAUAUUAGGAGGAACACCAGUGGCGAAGGCGGCUUACUGGACCGUAACUGACGUUGAGGCUCGAAAGCGUGGGGAGCAAACAGGAUUAGAUACCCUUGUA
Molecule: ribosomal RNA, 446 nt
Filed under: uncultured bacterium
Lineage: Bacteria
Description: bacterial SSU rRNA
Rfam family: Bacterial small subunit ribosomal RNA
Source: RNAcentral